GAUGAACGCUGGCGGCGUGCCUAAUACAUGCCAGUCGAGCGAACAGACGAGGCGCUUGCUCCUCUGACGUUAGCGGCGGACGGGUGAGUAACACGUGGAUAACCUACCUAUAGGACUGGGAUAACUUCGGGAAACCGGAGCUAAUACCGGAUAAUAUAUUGAACCGCAUGGUUCAAUAGUGAAAGACGGUUUUGCUGUCACUUAUAGAUGGAUCCGCGCCGCAUUAGCUAGUUGGUAAGGUAACGGCUUACCAAGGCGACGAUGCGUAGCCGACCUGAGAGGGGGAUCGGCCACACUGGAGCGUAGACGCGGACCAGAGUCCUGCGGGAGGGCGCAGUAUGGAAUCGUACGCAAUGGGCGAAAGCCUGACGGAGCAGCGCCGCGUGAGUGAUGAAGGUCUUCGGAUCGUAAAACUCUGUUAUUAGGGAAGAACAAAUGUGUAAGUAACUAUGCACGUCUUGACGGUACCUAAUCAGAAAGCCACGGCUAACUACGUG
This 497-nucleotide ribosomal RNA is filed under the name uncultured bacterium. RNAcentral describes it as "partial 16S ribosomal RNA". It matches the Rfam family "Bacterial small subunit ribosomal RNA", at positions 28 to 507 of the family's 1533-position model. The record is from RNAcentral.